AGUCCGUUUUGUGGGCAUUGGCGAAAUAAACCCUUGUAUCGUUCCAAUGCCUCUAAGUAGCAUUCUGAGUCUAGUUGUUGAAAAGUUGUAAUCUCAUCUCUUAGUUU
This 107-nucleotide small nucleolar RNA is filed under the name Olea europaea subsp. europaea. RNAcentral describes it as "Plant small nucleolar RNA R71". It matches the Rfam family "Plant small nucleolar RNA R71". Rfam says of the family: R71 is a member of the C/D box family of snoRNAs containing the C (UGAUGA) and D (CUGA) box motifs. Multiple nearly identical copies of this snoRNA have been identified in Arabidopsis, and it is thought to function as a 2'-O-ribose methylation guide for 18S ribosomal RNA. Lineage: Eukaryota; Viridiplantae; Streptophyta; Magnoliopsida; Lamiales; Oleaceae. The record is from Rfam by way of RNAcentral.